CGAACGACGAACGACUUCCACGCGGCCAACGGCUUCCACAGUGAACGGCUGCCACGGCAAACGGCAAACGACAAACCUCUUCGGCACGGCGAACUGCUUCCGCGUUCAAAGGUAUGUAAGUUCAACGGAUGAGGCCGAGAUGGCUUUCGUUCAUCUAAAGAUGUGGUUCCCCAUCAAGACAUUUGCUCAAGAAGUUACAAGAAGAUGCAAACCCUAGUUUGUUUUUGUGAUUUAUCAGAUUGAAGAGCCUUCUUUGAUCGUUCCAAGAAGAGUCCCCUUUCACUUUUUUUCCUUAGGCUGGUUACUUGGAUGCCUUUUGGCUUUACCUAUGAAUUACUUAGUAGUCAGUAUUUCAGAACAAUGUUUAAUUAUGAAGAUUAGUUGGUUAGCUUCUUGGUUAUUCAGUAUCCUGUCAAUAGUAAUAAUAUUGAUGAU
This is a long non-coding RNA of Cucumis sativus (cucumber), 435 nucleotides long. RefSeq lists it as uncharacterized. The record is from RefSeq and is a predicted model, not a curated record. Lineage: Eukaryota; Viridiplantae; Streptophyta; Magnoliopsida; Cucurbitales; Cucurbitaceae. The transcript is spliced from 2 exons.